Molecule: ribosomal RNA, 250 nt
Filed under: uncultured prokaryote
Description: partial 16S ribosomal RNA
Rfam family: Bacterial small subunit ribosomal RNA
Source: RNAcentral
UACGUAGGGGGGCGAGCGUUAUCCGGAUUUAUUGGGUGUAAAGGGUGCGUAGACGGUUUAGCAAGUUGGUUGUGAAAUCCCUCGGCUUAACUGAGGAACUGCAACCAAAACUGUUGAACUUGAGUGCGGGAGAGGAAAGCGGAAUUCCUAGUGUAGCGGUGAAAUGCGUAGAUAUUAGGAGGAACACCAGUGGCGAAGGCGGCUUUCUGGACCGUAACUGACGUUGAGGCACGAAAGUGUGGGGAGCAAA